CUCGCGACUCGCGCCCCCUCCUCCCCUGGAGCCCUCGGUCCCCGCCUCCCCAGGGAUGCCCAAGUUGCACUUGCAGAAAGUUUGUGCUUGGCCUGCGCGCGCAGCGCUCUGCGCUCUGUUGACACGCCUAUGGAGAGCGUGCGCACGCAGUCAGAGUACACCGGGUGUACCCACUUUCUACUCCUACUUUGGAAGAUGCCUGAGCUGCCCUCUGCAGGAGGGUGAACAUCCCGUCUUCAUACCUGUAGUGGUGAUGCCAGAAACGUUUGGACACCCAAUCUGCCCAGCUCUCACGUAGGGAGCAGACAGGAGACCGACCAAGGAAGGUUAUUAAAGUCUAUUGAUUGCAAAACAACUGGAGUGAUUUGGCUCCGCAAAACGCCAGGUGAAGUCAAAAUAAAUCUUUUCCCAAAGGAA
Ictidomys tridecemlineatus (thirteen-lined ground squirrel) is the source of this 417-nucleotide non-coding RNA. The record is from RefSeq and is a predicted model, not a curated record. NCBI's taxonomy places the organism in Eukaryota, Metazoa, Chordata, Mammalia, Rodentia, Sciuridae.